Non-coding RNA from Ceratotherium simum simum (southern white rhinoceros), 465 nucleotides. The record is from the annotation of a RefSeq genome assembly. NCBI's taxonomy places the organism in Eukaryota, Metazoa, Chordata, Mammalia, Perissodactyla, Rhinocerotidae.
AUGGACUGUAUGACUUUAGCAACUUGUGUGAUUUAUAGGUCUCAGUUUCCUCAUCUGAAAAUGAUGGACUUAAAUAUAUGUGAUUUCUCAGGAGACGCCAGAGCUCAGUCAGUGACACAGCCUGAUGUCCAUCUUGUGGUCUCUGAAGGAUCCUCUCUGGAGCUGAGGUGCAACUAUUCCUAUGGUGGAGCUCCUGAUCUCUUCUGGUACGUCCAGUACCCCAACCAAGGCCUCCAGUUUCUCCUCAAGUACUUUGGAGGGGACACCUUGGUUAAAGGCAUCAGAGAUUUUGAGGCUGAAUUUAGGAAAAGUGAAUCUUCCUUCAACCUGAGGAAAUCCUCAGCCCAUUGGAGUGACUCAGCUGUGUACUUCUGUGUUCUGAGUGACACAGUGCUGGAGACUGCAGGGGAGCUGAAUACAAACUGUGAGACACUAGAGAGGAUAACUUCUCUGAAAGAUUUUUGA